Molecule: transfer RNA, 62 nt
Filed under: Ixodes angustus
Lineage: Eukaryota; Metazoa; Arthropoda; Arachnida; Ixodida; Ixodidae
Description: tRNA-His
Source: RNAcentral
GCUUAAUUAGUUUAAUAUAAAAAUUAUAAAUUGUGGAUUUAUAGAUGAUUUAUCAUUAGGUA